RNAcentral lists this ribosomal RNA (250 nucleotides) under uncultured bacterium. Its description in RNAcentral is "partial 16S ribosomal RNA". It matches the Rfam family "Bacterial small subunit ribosomal RNA", at positions 355 to 596 of the family's 1533-position model. The record is from RNAcentral.
UAGGGAAUCUUCGGCAAUGGACGGAAGUCUGACCGAGCAACGCCGCGUGAGUGAAGAAGGUUUUCGGAUCGUAAAGCUCUGUUGUAAGAGAAGAACGAGUGUGAGAGUGGAAAGUUCACACUGUGACGGUAUCUUACCAGAAAGGGACGGCUAACUACGUGCCAGCAGCCGCGGUAAUACGUAGGUCCCGAGCGUUGUCCGGAUUUAUUGGGCGUAAAGCGAGCGCAGGCGGUUAGAUAAGUCUGAAGUU